AAAAAAUCAGGCCAGCACAUCACCAUCACCCCAUUCUGUUUCUCCACCAUCUUCCUGCUUUAAAUGUGUCUGUGAGUGCUGGGAAUAUGGACGUUGGAAAACCAAGUUGAGAUGCCAGCAUUUAACCUUUUCAGUUUUAUAAAAUUGACCCAUUUUGCUGGAAGUUGAGGGCUGGGAGAAGGAGUGACAGGUUUAAAGCCAGCAGUUCACUGCCAUCUCUUAAAGGCCCUCAAAAUGGAUUUGGGGUUUAUCUCUUAAGAGACAUCUGGGGCACGAUUGCCACUCUCUUUUCUUUCGCUGACCCUGCAGCUCAGGACUUGCGCAGAAGGCAGAGUCUUACUCCAUCACCCGGGCUGGAGUAUAGUUGGUGCCGUCUCGGCUCACUGCAACCUCCACCUCCCAGAUUCAAGCGACCCUCCAGCCUCAGCCUCCUGAGUAACUGGGAUUACAGACGUGCACCACCACAUCCAGCUAAUUGAUAAUAAUCUGAGAAGUUUCUUGAAGACCAUCAGCAUCUUCAAUGGGCGACUGGAAGAUACACUGUGGUUACCUGGGAGGCAGCCCAGCCUGGACCAGCAACCCAACCUGCUUCUUCAGAGCAAAACAAGAACUAGGAAUCAUCUUUUCACCUGGGAAGGAAUCAAGUAAAAAGCAAAAUUGAACUAAAGGCAAGGGUGACAUAAUUUGUAUUACAUAUAAAUGACCAGAAACCACUGGUGGCCACAAAGUUUUACUUUGAGCUAAUAAAACAUAUGCAUGCAUCCAGUGUAAAUCUAAGAGUCUAAGGAUGUUAUAACUCCUGAUAGGUAACUAUUUAAGAAAACAGAUGCAUUGGUAUUAGGUGAGAGUCCCCUGUUACAUGGAAAGCAUUAAAG
This 875-nucleotide long non-coding RNA is filed under the name Pan troglodytes (chimpanzee). RNAcentral's name for it is "long non-coding RNA NONPTRT009376". The record is from RNAcentral. Lineage: Eukaryota; Metazoa; Chordata; Mammalia; Primates; Hominidae.